UUCGGCCUUUUUUAUCAAAAACAUGUCUUUUUGAAUUUAAUAUAAAGUCUAAUCUGCCCACUGAUAUAAUUUAUAUUAAAGGGCUGCAGUAUAUUGACUGUACAAAGGUAGCAUAAUCAUUAGUCAUUUAAUUGAUGACUUGUAUGAAAGAUUGGAUGAAAUAUAAACUGUCUCUUUAUUAUUUAUAGAAUUUAAUUUUUUAAUUAAAAAGUUAAAAUAAUUUAAAAAGACGAGAAGACCCUAUAGAGUUUUAUAUUUAAAUUAAUUAAGAUUAUUUAUAAAAUUUUUAAUUGAAAUUAUUUUUAAUUAUUUUGUUGGGGUGACAAAAAAAUAAAAAUAACUUUUUUUAAAUUUUAACAUAUAUAAUUGAUUUUAUGAUCCAUUUUUAAUGAUUAUAAGAAAAAAUUACCUUAGGGAUAACAGCGUAAUUUUUUUUUUUAGUUCGAAUAAAAAAAAGAGUUUGCGACCUCGAUGUUGGAUUAAGAUAAAAUUUAAAUGUAGAAGUUUAAAAUUUUUGAUCUGUUCGAUCAUUAAAAUCUUACAUGAUCUGAGUUUCAACCGGA
This 563-nucleotide ribosomal RNA is filed under the name Spodoptera litura. RNAcentral's name for it is "partial large subunit ribosomal RNA". The stretch from base 416 to 563 matches the Rfam family "Archaeal large subunit ribosomal RNA", at positions 2542 to 2689 of the family's 2987-position model. The record is from RNAcentral. Lineage: Eukaryota; Metazoa; Arthropoda; Insecta; Lepidoptera; Noctuidae.